AUUGAACGCUGGCGGCAUGCCUUACACAUGCAAGCCGAACGGCAGCACGGGGCAACCUGGUGGCGAGUGGCGAACGGGUGAGUAAUGCAUCGGAACGUACCUUUCAGUGGGGGAUAGCGUAGCGAAAGUUACGCUAAUACCGCAUAUUCUGUGAGCAGGAAAGCAGGGGAUCGCAAGACCUUGCGCUGAUUGAGCGGCCGAUGUCAGAUUAGCUAGUUGGUGAGGUAAAGGCUCACCAAGGCGACGAUCUGUAGCGGGUCUGAGAGGAUGAUCCGCCACACUGGAACUGAGACACGGUCCAGACUCCUACGGGAGGCAGCAGUGGGGAAUUUUGGACAAUGGGGGCAACCCUGAUCCAGCCAUGCCGCGUGAGUGAAGAAGGCCUCCGGGUUGUAAAGCUCUUUCGGCCGGGAAGAAAUCGCACGGGCUAAUACCCUGUGUGGAUGACGGUACCGGAAUAAGAAGCACCGGCUAAUUACGUGCCAGCCGCCGCGGUAA
Molecule: ribosomal RNA, 498 nt
Filed under: uncultured bacterium
Lineage: Bacteria
Description: partial 16S ribosomal RNA
Rfam family: Bacterial small subunit ribosomal RNA
Source: RNAcentral